CCUACGGGGGGCAGCAGUAAGGAAUAUUGGUCAAUGGACGAAAGUCUGAACCAGCCAUCCCGCGUGCAGGAUGAAAGCCCUAUGGGUUGUAAACUGCUUUUAGCAGAGAAGAAAAGCUUCCAUUUAUGGGGGUCUGACGGUAUCUGCAGAAUAAGCACCGGCUAACUCCGUGCCAGCAGCCGCGGUAAUACGGAGGGUGCGGGAGUUAUUCGGAAUAAAGGGGGCGUAGGGGGAGGAAGAAGUCAGAUGUGAAAUCUUGUCGCUUAACGAUGAAAUUGCCAAUGAUACUGGUACUCUUGAGUUGGGUUGAGGUUAGCGGAAUGUGACAUGUAGCGGUGAAAUGCAUAGAUAUGUCAUGGAACACCAAUUGCGAAGGCAGCUAACUGGGCCUUGAUUGACGCUGAGGCACGAAAGCGUGGGUAGCGAACAGGAUUAGAUACCCUAGUAGUC
Molecule: ribosomal RNA, 450 nt
Filed under: uncultured bacterium
Lineage: Bacteria
Description: partial 16S ribosomal RNA
Rfam family: Bacterial small subunit ribosomal RNA
Source: RNAcentral